This 470-nucleotide long non-coding RNA is filed under the name Hordeum vulgare. RNAcentral's name for it is "long non-coding RNA (HVUL_LNC007749)". Lineage: Eukaryota; Viridiplantae; Streptophyta; Magnoliopsida; Poales; Poaceae. The record is from RNAcentral.
GGGCACGCCCUCCCGGAGGCUGAACGGGUAGCCGCGCACGAAGUCGGCGCCCUCCUGGUAUGGGUCGUACAAGGUGUUGAAGAAGAGCGGCGUGGACGGGCAGAGCAGGUUCUGGAUGUGCUUGGCCAGCGCGUCGAUGUCCUUCCCCGUGGGGUCCUUGGCGACCUGCAAUGCCACCGCAGGACAGGAGACCAGUCAACUCCGGCCAAGAAGAGUUGAUAUGAUAUGACAACGGAAGUGAAAAAGAAAGAGAUGGAUCUGGUGGUGGUGGCACUCACGAAGCAGUCGUCGUCGAUGGUGUAGACGUACUUCUUCUUGGAGACCAUGUAGCCGAAGCAGCGGCAGGCGGAGUCCUUGAAGGAGAUGCAGGAGGCCUUGGGGCCGAGGAUGCGGUUGAUGUCGUUGCGGUUGUAGAGCUCGUAGUCGAAGCCCUCAGGCACCAUGACGGUCCUCGUGGGGUCGCCGUCCUG